Molecule: unclassified non-coding RNA, 212 nt
Filed under: Hevea brasiliensis (rubber tree)
Lineage: Eukaryota; Viridiplantae; Streptophyta; Magnoliopsida; Malpighiales; Euphorbiaceae
Source: RNAcentral
UUCUUUUUUUUUUUUUUUUUUGACUCUGCUAUAUUCUUCUAGGUUCUAGCUACGGUCUGCAUUUGGAUUCUGUGUGUGUAACAUUUAGGACAUUUAUUUCAUGUCUGAGUCUAGGGUUUCGGAAUUUUGGGUUUUCCAGUUUGUUACUCUGCUAGUCUGUUGGGAUCAGGGAGACUGGGUUGAGGGAGCGUGGGCGCGUGAUAAAUUUUGUU